Molecule: ribosomal RNA, 461 nt
Filed under: uncultured Acidimicrobiales bacterium
Lineage: Bacteria; Bacillati; Actinomycetota; Acidimicrobiia; Acidimicrobiales
Description: bacterial SSU rRNA
Rfam family: Bacterial small subunit ribosomal RNA
Source: RNAcentral
GACGAACGCUGGCGGCGUGCCUAACACAUGCAAGUCGAACGAACUCGGACUUCGGUCCAUAUGAGUGAGUGGCGAACGGGUGAGUAACACGUGAGAAACCUGCCUUAGAGACAGGGAUAACCAAGGGAAACUUUGGCUAAUACCUGAUGCCUUCACAGAAUCGCAUGAUUCAGUGAAGAAACGCUCCGGUGCUCUAAGAGGGUCUCGCGGCCUAUCAGCUAGUUGGUGAGGUAAUGGCUCACCAAGGCAUCGACGGGUAGCUGGUCUGAGAGGACGAUCAGCCACACUGGGACUGAGACACGGCCCAGACUCCUACGGGAGGCAGCAGUGGGGAAUCUUGCGCAAUGGGCGAAAGCCUGACGCAGCAACGCCGCGUGGAGGAUGAAGGCCUUAGGGUUGUAAACUCCUUUCGGUAGGGACGAAAAUGACGGUACCUACAGAAGAAGCCCCGGCCAACUACG